AUAUCAAUAAGCGGAGGAAAAGAAACCAACAGGGAUUGCCUCAGUAACGGCGAGUGAAGCGGCAACAGCUCAAAUUUGAAAUCUGGCUCCCUUCGGGGGCCCGAGUUGUAAUUUGGAGAGGAUGUUUCGGGCAAGGCGGCGGUCUAAUUUGCUUGGAACAGCGAGUCAGAGAGGGUGAGAAUCCCGUCCGGGAUCGUUAGCCGCGCCCAGGUGAAGCUCCUUCGACGAGUCGAGUUGUUUGGGAAUGCAGCUCUAAACGGGUGGUAAAUUUCAUCUAAAGCUAAAUAUGGGCCGGAGACCGAUAGCGCACAAGUAGAGUGAUCGAAAGAUGAAAAGCACUUUGAAAAGAGAGUUAAACAGUAUGUGAAAUUGUUGAAAGGGAAGCGCUUGCAACCAGACCUGUGGCUGACGGUUCCCCCGACCUUCUGGCCGGGCUCCUCCGUCACGUCCAGGCCAACAUCGGUUUGGGUGGUCGGUUAAAGGCCCCGGGAAUGUAUCUACCCUCGGGUCGACUUAUAGCCCGGGGUGCCAUGCGGCCCACCCGGACCGAGGAACGCGCUCCGGCUCGGAUGUUGGCGUAAUGGUUGUAAGCGGCCCGUCUUGAAACACGGACCAAGGAGUCUAACAUCUAUGCGAGUGUUUGGGUGCGAAACCCCUACGCGGAAUGAAAGUGAACGGAGGUAAGAACCCCGUCAGGGGCGCAUUAUCGACCGAUCCUGAUGUCUUCGGAUGGAUUUGAGUAAGAGCAUAGCUGUUGGGACCCGAAAGAUGGUGAACUAUGCAUGAAUAGGGUGAAGCCAGAGGAAACUCUGGUGGAGGCUCGCAGCGGUUCUGACGUGCAAAUCGAUCGUCAAAUUUGUGCAUAGGGGCGAAAGACUAAUCGAACCAUUAAGGAAUCAGGCUAGUGGGUGGUUCGGAAGCAGUCCUUCGGGGCGACACCGUCCUUUUGGCGGGGAUUUUGUUACCCGCAGCAGUUGGAUUAAAACCCAGCUGUCCACAGACUAGGAGACGGUGGUCAUCUUGACCGUGAGAUGAUGAUGAUAUAGUCGAUCUCGGUGAAAAUGUCUUAGCCGUGAAUCAACGCUGGUAGCUGGUUCCUGUCGAAGUUUCCCUCAGGAUAGCAGUAACGUUUUCAGUUUUAUGAGGUAAAGCGAAUGAUUAGAGGCCUUGGGGUUGUAACAACCUUAACCUAUUCUCAAACUUUAAAUAUGUAAGAAGUCCUUGUUGCUUAACUGAACGUGGACAUUUGAAUGUAUCGUUACUAGUGGGCCAUUUUUGGUAAGCAGAACUGGCGAUGCGGGAUGAACCGAACGUGAGGUUAAGGUGCCGGAAUGUACGCUCAUCAGACACCACAAAAGGUGUCAAUGCAUCCAGACAGCCGGACGGUGGCCAUGGAAGUCGGAAUCCGCUUAGGAGUGUGUAACAACUCACCGGCCGAAUGCAUUGGCCCUGAAAAUGGAUGGCGCUUAAGCGUGCUACCUAUACCUCGCCGUUGGGGUUGAAAUGAUGCCCCAACGAGUAGGCAGGCGUGGGGGUUAGUGACGAAGCCUUGGGGGUGACCCCGGGUUGAACAACCUCUAGUG
Molecule: ribosomal RNA, 1583 nt
Filed under: Willeya pallidipora
Lineage: Eukaryota; Fungi; Ascomycota; Eurotiomycetes; Verrucariales; Verrucariaceae
Description: LSU rRNA
Rfam family: Eukaryotic large subunit ribosomal RNA
Source: RNAcentral